UCGACGCCCCCUCCCUUCGUCUCAACUUCUCUCUCUCCGCCCCUCCUCAUUCUAACCGUGCUUGGGUGGCGGCAGCGGUGAAGUGGCUCCCCCUUUCUGGUGAGAUCUAUAGCGCGACAGGCGGCAGUAGCGGUGAAGUGCCUCCACCUCCAGAUGAGAUCUGUUGCGCACACGAUCUCUCUCUCUCUCCCUCUCCCCCCUCUCUCUCUCACCAUCGUGGAUCAGCGCCGCCGUAGCCUGUGUUCAAUCCCACACCGCCGCCUCUAUCUCCCAGUGACGUCGUCUCGCCGCCCUCGGCCUCACCAUCAACUGAUGCAGGGGAGUGAUACUGCCACCUCCAUCUCCCCUUUCCCUGCCUCUGAACCCAACUGAGAAGAAACUCAUCUCUUCCCCUCUCCCAGGGCAUCCUCUCUUACCCUCCCAUGGCUCCUCGUCCUCCUCCCAUGGCCACCAACUUCUGCAAGGAUUUUUUAUUCAAGUUGUUCUUUGUCACCAGGUCGCCGGCAAGGUCUUAGUCCAUGAUUUGUUCGUCUCGCUUUAGAGAUGGUGGAGGUGAAGAAGUCUGAGCGAGGGCUCGAGGAGGUGGAGGAAGAGAUGGUGGCCAGCAUCGCUCCUUCGGCCAGGAAAACGUGGGCACUCCGGUUUGUUCAUAUCGACUAAAUCACGGGGUCGGUGAGUCACUAUUGCCCAAAGCCAAGCGGUGGAUGGCGCUCACGAGCAAAAGCAGUCACAUAAUCAUCUUCAGGGCUAAGAUCAACGUGCUCCUGCCUUUAGGCCCUUUGCCAUCACGCUCCACUACCUCUCCAGAAACCACAAUAAUCACACUUAUAAAUUAAUUUUCAGUAUUCAUCAGAAUUGUACAGUAUUACUUGCCCUUUUAUAUUUAAUUAUUUUUUCUAUUUAGUGUUACUUUUGAAUCUUUUAUAGCACAAGCAUCCGUUUCUUCUUAUAAAUUCUAUGUCACGUUUAGUUGCAGUAGCAAGACUGGCAUGUAGUGCCUUCUAUAUCCUCAAUUUUCUAUCUUCAAAUGGUUCAUAUUAAAGCAGAUGUACUCAAACAUGUAAUUAUGUUUCCCCAACAUUUGUGCCUUAUGCUAACAUAAUUUGAAAUGAAUCCAUGUGUUCUAGGAGGCAAAUUCGAGCUCCAUAUUACUUGGUCUGCUGCUUCUUCUGGGUUGUCUUCUACCUUCCAGUAGAUUCUAUGAAGCUCCAAUGGCUAUCAAACAGGUUAGUGCUCGUGCCCUAUUAUGCCUCAAGUUAAUUAUCUUGCAAUGCAAUUUCAUAUUUUAUGGUCUGAUUGCUCUAGGUGGAACUGACCGCUCUACUACAGUGUGAUUGCUCUAGAUGGAACUAACUGCUCUAUUGCACGACAUUGCUAGAUGCAUCGAAUUUAAGUGUCAGGAGUCUGCCUUUUGGUAUGCCCUUGUGGUGCGUUGCCUCUCCAUUAAAUUCUCAUGUUUGCGGAUUCUGGAGUGUAGUUAUAUUGUGGCAUACCUUUUUAGAUGAAAAUAUAAUGGAGUGGCAAAAAAAUACUUCUGCAAAGUUGUAGUCACAACUAUAAUUAUCCAAGGAGGAAGUGUUGUAAAAGGAGGAGAUGUCUUGCUCUACUGCUGCUUGGUACCAGACGUGAACAACUUCAUUAGGAGUUUACUGCAUGGUUGGAGGAAGGUAUUGAUGCCACUAGAGAUAAUAAACCAUUUGGAUCCCAAUACCAUACCAUGUUGAUCUACACCUGGUCUGCUUUCUCUCCUAUUUAUGCUUUCGUUUCAAUGGUUCUAAGGCUCGCACAUAAUGAUUAAGAAAAGUAGCACAAUGUUUUUUUGGCUAUUUGCUAUCGAUGGCAUGUUGCAGUUUGCCAUGGACCAUGCUAAACGUGCAUCUAUCCAAGGAAUAAUGUACCUUAUGGGAUUUCUCAUAUAUUUGUAGAUUUAUUGUAUUUUCUUUGAAUUGGAUUGUAGAUCUGUUUGUGUGUUGUCAGAAUAAACAAUGCAUGAAUUCGGUAACUGAUUUUAUAGCUGCAAUCUCCUAAGCACAAUUACUCAUGCUUUAUUUUCUAAUUUUCAGUUUUCUUUUGUCGUUAAAUACUAUACAGCUUGGUUUUGUUACUAACUUUAAUCCAACCAUAUAUUUACAUCAAUCACUAUUAUUUUAGUGACAAAAUAGACGGGCGCAGCAACGCACGCCAUCAUGGUCUAGUCAGGAGUUACGAUCACAGGCUUGUUCACCUGCCCCCAGGCUGCAGCAGUGCUUCUUGUUUGUGUCGAUUGCUACAGCUUCCUGAGCAAAUGUCCACCCGCAGGCGGGGUCGCAUCAGAUCCAAAGCUCUCGCCCGUGUCCACCCGCAGGCGCUACAACGUGAUGCAGAGGGCCAACUCGUCCUCGUCUACGGCAGCAUGGCGGGGGAAAUGUUCCAAUCUUCGUCGCUGGAGCCGUCGAAGUGGCUGCAGGUGCUGGACAUGGUCGCCGGAGAUUGGGAGUUGACGGAUUGGAGAAAGGGGGAACGAAGCGGAGCAGAGUGAAGUAAGGCUAAGGUUCGAUCCGGAUGGGGUUUUUGUGAAGUCAUUGUUGGCCAAAGGUGGGCUGUGUGGACAUGACGGACAUGCCCGAACCGUCUCUUAUCCGCCCUACAUUUGGGCUGAAAAUGAGGGAUGUCGGUCAGCCCAUGCGUUUGAGGUCGAUUUAAAGCAUCCGAAUAAGUCGGGUAUUUUGACCGGUCCUCCCGCCCGGGCAUUUGAUGGAUUUGAGGCGCUCGGCCAUUAGGGGCUCACGCACGUUUUGGUGAAUCACUUUUGGCAUUGUGCGGCCAUACAUGGUCAUGGAAUUAACGGUCCGUAGAUCGUGUAGCUAGCACAACUUGGCAUGGGCACCGGACCGGAUACAUGUUGUUCAUGUGCUGUAUACUCACACAGGCUUCACUAAUGCUCCAGAUCUUUCUUCAGUCUGAGUUGGGUUAGAAGCAUGGAAGGUAUUUGCACCAUCACCGUCCUCAAUU
Long non-coding RNA from Triticum aestivum (bread wheat), 2991 nucleotides. RefSeq lists it as uncharacterized. NCBI's taxonomy places the organism in Eukaryota, Viridiplantae, Streptophyta, Magnoliopsida, Poales, Poaceae. The transcript has 5 exons. The record is from RefSeq and is a predicted model, not a curated record.